CAAACUAUACUUUCAGGGGGUCAUUUCUUUAGUUGCUGAUUUGAGAAAUGUGUUUCUAAAGAAUUUGGUCUUGCUGUCCAUGAUGAAGAGUUUUGAUGUUUCCUUAAGAGCAGGAAGCUAGUUGAAGACUUUGCUUGUUCUCCACUGUUGAAGAUGGUUUAGAGUUUCUCUGAGAUGCUCUGAUGGAUGAAACAUGAUCUGAGUGGA
Small nucleolar RNA from Cheilinus undulatus (humphead wrasse), 207 nucleotides. RefSeq annotates it as small nucleolar RNA U3. Lineage: Eukaryota; Metazoa; Chordata; Actinopteri; Labriformes; Labridae. The record is from RefSeq and is a predicted model, not a curated record. The transcript has a single exon.